UUAAACUCCAAAGAGCAAUUAGUUCUGAUUUAGACUGAAACGAGCAUACGGAUUUCAAGAUUGGUGCCUCAAACGAGCCACUAUCUUGUAGGGACACGUUAAGAUGGAGUCCCAAGUCUUAGUAAACACAACAUUCUUCACAAUCAUGUUCACAGAAUUGCACCAAAGAAAACAGCUCAAUUUGGAAAACUUUAAGCACCAGGGAAACGACUAGGAAAUUCUUAGCCAUAUCAUUGCAUAAUGUGUCUAAUUGGUCGAACUGUGAAGGUAUUCUUACCUUCACAGCCACUAUAUUGUAGGGACACGUUAAGAUGGAGUCCCAAGUCUUAGUAAACACAACAUUCCUCACAAUCAUGUUCACAGAAUUGCACCAAAGAAAACAGCUCAAUUUGGAAAACUUUAAGCACCAUGGAAACGAUUAGGAAAUUCUUAGCCAUAUCAUUGCAUAAUGUGUCUAAUUGGUCGAACUGUGAAGGUAUUCUUACCCAUGCAUACGUUUCAAUCAUAUAUUUGGUUAUGUCAGAAUCAUGAACUUAUUUCAUUGAUCAGAGAAUCUCUGUUCAAUACCAAGUCUGCAUCAGCAACUAUGAUCACUUGCAAAUUUCACAUACUAUUUUUCACCGAAUGGUAAGUCCUCAUUUUGUCUAUCAG
RNAcentral lists this long non-coding RNA (651 nucleotides) under Olea europaea (common olive). Its description in RNAcentral is "long non-coding RNA (OEUR_LNC004958)". The record is from RNAcentral. Lineage: Eukaryota; Viridiplantae; Streptophyta; Magnoliopsida; Lamiales; Oleaceae.